This 484-nucleotide ribosomal RNA is filed under the name uncultured bacterium. RNAcentral's name for it is "partial 16S ribosomal RNA". It matches the Rfam family "Bacterial small subunit ribosomal RNA", at positions 30 to 507 of the family's 1533-position model. The record is from RNAcentral.
AUUGAACGCUGGCGGCAUGCCUUACACAUGCAAGUCGAACGGCAGCACGGACUUCGGUCUGGUGGCGAGUGGCGAACGGGUGAGUAAUGUAUCGGAACGUACCUUUCAGUGGGGGAUAACGUAGCGAAAGUUACGCUAAUACCGCAUAUUCUGUGAGCAGGAAAGCAGGGGAUCGAAAGACCUUGCGCUGAUUGAGCGGCCGAUAUCAGAUUAGCUAGUUGGUGGGGUAAAGGCCUACCAAGGCGACGAUCUGUAGCGGGUCUGAGAGGAUGAUCCGCCACACUGGAACUGAGCCACGGUCCAGACUCCUACGGGAGGCAGCAGUGGGGAAUUUUGGACAAUGGGGGCAACCCUGAUCCAGCCAUGCCGCGUGAGUGAAGAAGGCCUUCGGGUUGUAAAGCUCUUUCGGCCGGGAAGAAAUCGCAUAGGCUAAUACCCUGUGUGGAUGACGGUACCGGAAGAAGAAGCACCGGCUAACUACGUG